This 19-nucleotide small RNA is filed under the name Arabidopsis thaliana (thale cress). Its description in RNAcentral is "ATSL226330". The record is from RNAcentral. Lineage: Eukaryota; Viridiplantae; Streptophyta; Magnoliopsida; Brassicales; Brassicaceae.
UUAUUUCUAGCCUCUUUAA